AGAGUUUGAUCCUGGCUCAGAGUGAACGCUGGCGGCAUGCCUAACACAUGCAAGUCGAACGGUAACAGGCCCGCAAGGGUGCUGACGAGUGGCGGACGGGUGAGGAAUACAUCGGAAUCUACCCGGUUGUGGGGGAUAACGUAGGGAAACUUACGCUAAUACCGCAUACGACCGAGAGGUGAAAGCGGGGGAUCGCAAGACCUCGCGCGAUCGGAUGAGCCGAUGUCGGAUUAGCUAGUUGGCGGGGUAAAGGCCCACCAAGGCGACGAUCCGUAGCUGGUCUGAGAGGAUGAUCAGCCACACUGGGACUGAGACACGGCCCAGACUCCUACGGGAGGCAGCAGUGGGGAAUAUUGGACAAUGGGGGCAACCCUGAUCCAGCAAUGCCGCGUGUGUGAAGAAGGCCUUCGGGUUGUAAAGCACUUUUAUCCGGAACGAAACGCACUGGGUGAAUAUCCCGGUGAACUGACGGUACCGGAGGAAUAAGCACCGGCUAACUU
Molecule: ribosomal RNA, 500 nt
Filed under: uncultured bacterium
Lineage: Bacteria
Description: bacterial SSU rRNA
Rfam family: Bacterial small subunit ribosomal RNA
Source: RNAcentral